CAAAUACCAAUGUCUCACCAAUAGAAAAACCAUUUUGAAAAAUAAUUAUAAUCACUUCGAUGCUUCCAAAGCCGUAGUCACUUGUCACACCCAGCCGUUAUAAAAGUAGUACGUUACAGAAUAGGUAUUUGAAACCGUGAGCACUUCUGUCAAUAUAAUAUUGCCUAUACAAAUAAAUUUCGAAAUCUAUUGUUUUUCUUUAUUAUCAUCAUAAUAAAAUACAACAGAAUACUGCACGUAAUACAGGCUAUGAAAUAUCUUUUUUAAUUUAAAAUACACGUACCUCAUAA
Cinara cedri is the source of this 290-nucleotide non-coding RNA. NCBI's taxonomy places the organism in Eukaryota, Metazoa, Arthropoda, Insecta, Hemiptera, Aphididae. The record is from the annotation of a GenBank genome assembly.